ACGAACGCUGGCGGCGUGCUUAACACAUGCAAGUCGAACGGAGAGGCCCUGCUUUUGUGGGGUGCUCGAGUGGCGAACGGGUGAGUAACACGUGAGUAACCUGCCCUUGACUUUGGGAUAACUUCAGGAAACUGGGGCUAAUACCGGAUAGGAGCUCCUGCUGCAUGGUGGGGGUUGGAAAGUUUCGGCGGUUGGGGAUGGACUCGCGGCUUAUCAGCUUGUUGGUGGGGUAGUGGCUUACCAAGGCUUUGACGGGUAGCCGGCCUGAGAGGGUGACCGGCCACAUUGGGACUGAGAUACGGCCCAGACUCCUACGGGAGGCAGCAGUGGGGAAUAUUGCACAAUGGGCGGAAGCCUGAUGCAGCAACGCCGCGUGCGGGAUGACGGCCUUCGGGUUGUAAACCGCUUUCGCCUGUGGCGAAGCGUGAGUGACGGUAAUGGGUAAAGAAGCACCGGCUAACUACGUG
This 467-nucleotide ribosomal RNA is filed under the name uncultured bacterium. RNAcentral's name for it is "partial 16S ribosomal RNA". It matches the Rfam family "Bacterial small subunit ribosomal RNA", at positions 29 to 507 of the family's 1533-position model. The record is from RNAcentral.